CGCUUUGAUAAUGCUGGGAUGUGAUGGGGAGCGAAAUUUAGUAGCGAAGUAGCUGAUUUCACACUGUCAAGAAAAGUCUCUAUCGAGGUUAAAGGUACCCGUACCGCAAACCGACACAGGUGGGUGAGGAGAGUAUCCUAAGGCCAGCGAGAGAACUGUUGUUAAGGAACUCGGCAAAAUGACCCCGUAACUUAGGGAUAAGGGGUGCCACCAUCAGGUGGCCGCAGAGAAUAGGCCCAAGCGACUGUUUACCAAAAACAUAGGUUUCUGCUAAGUCGCAAGACGAUGUAUAGGAGCUGACGCCUGCCCGGUGCUGGAAGGUUAAGGGGAUCUGUUAGAGCAAUCGAAGCAGUGAACUUAAGCCCCAGUAAACGGCGGCCGUAACUAUAACGGUCCUAAGGUAGCGAAAUUCCUUGUCGGGUAAGUUCCGACCCGCACGAAAGGCGUAACGAUUUGGGCACUGUCUCAACAACAGACUCGGUGAAAUUGUAAUUCCGGUGAAGAUGCCGGAUACCUGCGACAGGACGGAAAGACCCCAUGGAGCUUUACUGUAGCUUGACAUUGGGUCUUGGUACUACAUGUACAGGAUAGGUGGGAGGCUUUGAAACCAGGACGCCAGUUUUGGCGGAGCCAUCCUUGGGAUACCACCCUUGUAGUACUGGGACUCUAACCAUAGGCCAUGAAUCUGGUCUUGGGACACUGUCAGGUGGGCAGUUUGACUGGGGCGGUCGCCUCCCAAAAGGUAACGGAGGCGCUCAAAGGUUCUCUCAGUACGGUCGGAAAUCGUACGUAGAGUGUAAAGGCAAAAGAGAGCUUGAUUGCAAGACAUACAGGUCGAGCAAGGAUGAAAAUCGGACUUAGUGAUCCGGUGGUUCUGCGUGGAAGGGCCAUCGCUCAACGGAUAAAAGCUACCCUGGGGAUAACAGGCUUAUCUCCCCCAAGAGUCCACAUCGACGGGGAGGUUUGGCACCUCGAUGUCGGCUCAUCACAUCCUGGGG
RNAcentral lists this ribosomal RNA (998 nucleotides) under Clostridioides difficile. RNAcentral describes it as "partial 23S ribosomal RNA". It matches the Rfam family "Bacterial large subunit ribosomal RNA", at positions 1543 to 2552 of the family's 2925-position model. The record is from RNAcentral. Lineage: Bacteria; Bacillati; Bacillota; Clostridia; Peptostreptococcales; Peptostreptococcaceae.